This 435-nucleotide ribosomal RNA is filed under the name uncultured bacterium. RNAcentral describes it as "partial 16S ribosomal RNA". It matches the Rfam family "Bacterial small subunit ribosomal RNA", at positions 28 to 507 of the family's 1533-position model. The record is from RNAcentral.
GAUGAACGCUGGCGGUAUGCUUAACACAUGCAAGUCGAACGGACUCUUCGGAGUUAGUGGCGGACGGGUGAGUAACGCGUGAGAAUCUGGCUUUGGGUUCGGGACAACCACUGGAAACGGUGGCUAAUACCGGAUGUGCCGAGAGGUAAAAGCGAAAUUGCCUGAAGAUGAGCUCGCGUCUGAUUAGCUAGUUGGUGAGGUAAAGGCCCACCAAGGCAGCGAUCAGUUGCUGGUUUGAGAGGAUGCCCAGCCACACUGGGACUGGGACGCGGCCCAGACGCCUACUGGAGGCAGCAGUGGGGAAUUUUCCGCAAUGGGCGAGUGCCUGACGGAGCAAUACCGCGUGUGGGAAGAAGGCGCUUGGGUUGUAAACCUCUUUGCUUAGGGAAGAACAAAAUGACGGUACCUAAGGAAUCAGCACCGGCUAACUCCGUG